UUGUCCCUACGGGACGCAGCAGUGAGGAAUAUCGGUCAAUGGGCGGAAGCCUGAACCAGCCAAGUCGCGUGAGGGAAGAAGGCCCUGCGGGUCGCAGACCUCUUUGGACGGGGAGCAAGGCCGCCGACGUGUCGGCGGAAGGAGAGUACCCGUAGAACAAGCAUCGGCUAACUCCGUGCCAGCAGCCGCGGUAAUACGGAGGAUGCGAGCGUUAUCCGGAUUUAUUGGGUUUAAAGGGUGCGUAGGCGGGACGGUAAGUCAGCGGUAAAAAUGCGGAGCUCAACUCCGUCGAGCCGUUGAAACUG
Molecule: ribosomal RNA, 305 nt
Filed under: uncultured bacterium
Lineage: Bacteria
Description: bacterial SSU rRNA
Rfam family: Bacterial small subunit ribosomal RNA
Source: RNAcentral